Molecule: ribosomal RNA, 466 nt
Filed under: uncultured bacterium
Lineage: Bacteria
Description: partial 16S ribosomal RNA
Rfam family: Bacterial small subunit ribosomal RNA
Source: RNAcentral
GAUGAACGCUGGCGGCGUGCUUAACACAUGCAAGUCGAACGGAAAGGCCCAAGCUUGCUUGGGUACUCGAGUGGCGAACGGGUGAGUAACACGUGGGUGAUCUGCCCUGCACUUCGGGAUAAGCCUGGGAAACUGGGUCUAAUACCGGAUAGGACCACAUUUUGGAUGGUGUGGUGGAAAGUUUUUCGGUGUGGGAUGAGCUCGCGGCCUAUCAGCUUGUUGGUGGGGUAAUGGCCUACCAAGGCGUCGACGGGUAGCCGGCCUGAGAGGGUGUACGGCCACAGUGGGACUGAGAUACGGCCCAGACUCCUACGGGAGGCAGCAGUGGGGAAUAUUGCACAAUGGGCGCAAGCCUGAUGCAGCGACGCCGCGGGGGGGAUGACGGCCUUCGGGUUGUAAACUCCUUUCGCUAGGGACGAAGCGUUAUGUGACGGUACCUGGAGAAGAAGCACCGGCUAACUACGUG